Crotalus tigris (Tiger rattlesnake) is the source of this 653-nucleotide long non-coding RNA. RefSeq lists it as uncharacterized. NCBI's taxonomy places the organism in Eukaryota, Metazoa, Chordata, Lepidosauria, Squamata, Viperidae. The record is from RefSeq and is a predicted model, not a curated record. The transcript has 3 exons.
GCCUGGGAACAGCUUCCAGGGUAAUCCGCUUCUGUUAGAGGGAAGAUAGGAGACAGUACUCAUAAAGGUCAAGCUCUAGCAAAGGGAGGUCUCCAAGAUGAAAAAGGAUCCAUGCUCCUUAGAGAUUUAUUCAUCUUAAAUAUGAAUCAAGAGGCAACUGGAAGGAGAAGGCAAAUGAAGAAUGUACCUACCAUUGGCACAUUGUUCAUAGAGUUGUUUUUGAGCCUUGGUGGAAUCUCUAACUGAUUGCAGAAGUUUUGUGGACGAAUCAUCAAACUGCUGUUGAUAAUAAUUAAUGCAGAAUGUAUCAGAACGGGAAAGAAAGACUGAAGCUACCUCCAGAGCAAUGCAUGGUCCACAGUCAACACAGAACAGCUUCUCUCCUCUGACUCCGAAUCUUGGUUGUUAAGAGUAAACUUCCUUUGAUUUUCCCCAGGUAGGAAAAGAAAACUUGUUCUAGAAUUUGGAAAACAUGUGAUGGCUUUAAUCAAUAAAAUACUCUGAGACUCUGCUUACUCUCAAUUGUAGAAAUGACACAUAGGAAUCGGUUUUAUCCAGGAAAGAAAGGCAUGGUCCAAAAGACACAAGAGUGUGUUGGAAAUUGGUUAUCCCAGGAAAUCCGGAAUGCAGCAUAUUCUUCUGCAAAAACUCCU